CAGUCGCCGCGGUAAUACGGAGGGUGCAAGCGUUAAUCGGAAUUACUGGGCGUAAAGCGCACGCAGGCGGUCUGACAAGUCAGAUGUGAAAUCCCCGGGCUUAACCUGGGAACUGCAUUUGAAACUGUCAGGCUGGAGUCUUGUAGAGGGGGGUGGAAUUCCAGGUGUAGCGGUGAAAUGCGUAGAGAUCUGGAGGAAUACCGGUGGCGAAGGCGGCCCCCUGGACAAAGACUGACGCUCAGGUGCGAAAGCGUGGGGAGCAAACAGGAUUAGAUACCCGCGUAGUCCCUGUCCUUAUACA
This 301-nucleotide ribosomal RNA is filed under the name uncultured bacterium. RNAcentral's name for it is "partial 16S ribosomal RNA". It matches the Rfam family "Bacterial small subunit ribosomal RNA", at positions 509 to 809 of the family's 1533-position model. The record is from RNAcentral.